This 933-nucleotide ribosomal RNA is filed under the name uncultured Bacteroidota bacterium. Its description in RNAcentral is "bacterial SSU rRNA". It matches the Rfam family "Bacterial small subunit ribosomal RNA", at positions 8 to 937 of the family's 1533-position model. Lineage: Bacteria; Pseudomonadati; Bacteroidota. The record is from RNAcentral.
AGAGUUUGAUCCUGGCUCAGGAUGAACGCUAGCGGCAGGCUUAAUACAUGCAAGUCGAGGGGCAGCGCAGUGUAGCAAUACAUGGGCGGCGACCGGCAAACGGGUGCGGAACACGUACACAACCUUCCUUUCAGCGAGGAAUAGCCCAGAGAAAUUUGGAUUAAUACCUCAUAGUAUAUCGGUCAGGCAUCUGAUUGUUAUUAAAGAUUUAUCACUGAAAGAUGGGUGUGCGGCUGAUUAGAUAGUUGGCGGGGUAACGGCCCACCAAGUCUGCGAUCAGUAACUGGUGUGAGAGCACGACCAGUCACACGGGCACUGAGACACGGGCCCGACUCCUACGGGAGGCAGCAGUAAGGAAUAUUGGUCAAUGGACGCAAGUCUGAACCAGCCAUGCCGCGUGGAGGAUGAAGGCCCUCUGGGUUGUAAACUUCUUUUAUCUGGGACGAAAAAGGGCCUUUCUAGGUCAACUGACGGUACCAGAGGAAUAAGCACCGGCUAACUCCGUGCCAGCAGCCGCGGUAAUACGGAGGGUGCAAGCGUUAUCCGGAUUCACUGGGUUUAAAGGGUGCGUAGGUGGGUUGGUAAGUCAGUGGUGAAAUCUCCGAGCUUAACUUGGAAACUGCCAUUGAUACUAUCAGUCUUGAAUAUUGUGGAGGUCAGCGGAAUAUGUCAUGUAGCGGUGAAAUGCUUAGAUAUGACAUAGAACACCAAUUGCGAAGGCAGCUGGCUACGCAUAUAUUGACACUGAGGCACGGAAGCGUGGGGAUCAAACAGGAUUAGAUACCCUGGUAGUCCACGCCCUAAACUAUGGAUACUCGACGUGCGCGAUACACUGUGCGCGUCUGAGCGAAAGCAUUAAGUAUCCCACCUGGGAAGUACGAUCGCAAGAUUGAAACUCAAAGGAAUUGGCGGGGGUCCGCACAAGCGGUGGAA